AGCUCCAGCAGCGUAUAUUUAUGUUGCUGCGUUUAAAAAGCUCGUAGUUGAAGCGUCAGACGCGGGACAACGGUCGGCCGCACGGCCGCUCCGUUCGGACCGCGGCCAGUCGCAAACGGAGGCCGUCGCUUGCACUUAACCGUGUGAGCGCGGCGCUGCUGCACGUUCACCUUGAGGAAAGUGAACCGCUCAAAGGAAGCGUUACGUCCGAACAAUACAGCAUGGUAUGAUGGAACAUGGGCUGGCGCUCUGUUCGAUGGUUUAAGAGAUGGCGAGCCAAUGAUUAAUAGUGACUGCCGGGGGCAUUCGUACUCGGACGGGAGAGGUGAAAUUCAAGGAUCGUCCGAAGACGCUCAACUGCGAAAGCAUUUGCCAAGAAUGUUUUCAUUA
Molecule: ribosomal RNA, 390 nt
Filed under: Celleporella sp.
Lineage: Eukaryota; Metazoa; Bryozoa; Gymnolaemata; Cheilostomatida; Hippothoidae
Description: partial small subunit ribosomal RNA
Rfam family: Eukaryotic small subunit ribosomal RNA
Source: RNAcentral